GCUGGAGGUGUGGCUCAGGGGUAAAGCCCUUGCCUAGCUUGCAGGAGACCCCAGGUUUGAUUCCUAGCAAGCA
RNAcentral lists this transfer RNA (73 nucleotides) under Marmota monax (woodchuck). Its description in RNAcentral is "tRNA.Ala". The record is from RNAcentral. Lineage: Eukaryota; Metazoa; Chordata; Mammalia; Rodentia; Sciuridae.